RNAcentral lists this long non-coding RNA (436 nucleotides) under Physcomitrium patens. Its description in RNAcentral is "long non-coding RNA (PPAT_LNC000947)". The record is from RNAcentral. Lineage: Eukaryota; Viridiplantae; Streptophyta; Bryopsida; Funariales; Funariaceae.
AAUUAAAAAAAAUGAAGUGACCUCAAGAAUAUAAUUAAAUAGUUUAAUUUACACACACCUCUUAUCAACAAAGUCUAGUAGAAUCAUAUUAGAAGGUCCAUAUAUUGUCUUCUCAACUUCAAACAACUCAUCUAUAUUGAAGCUCUAUUUCAACAUCUUUUCUUCAAUUAAACAGACUUGGCAUUUAAAUACAAGUAUUUGCAGAUGAAAAUUUAGCUCCACAUUAAUAAAAUGAGUUUUCAAACAGUUGUAGAGUCUCCAAUAAAACAAGGAGUCAUAGUCUCAAGCUGGAUCACCCUAAAAAAUAACAACAGACUUUUCUAGGACAGUAUGCAAAAAGUAAUAUCUAGAGCAAUACUGAAACAAGGAAAUUACUCUUCUCGAUGAAUCUGGUAUUAUAUGGACUUGAAACAAUGUGCAUACCCUAUUUUAAAAA